AUUUGUGCUUAUAGUGUUUUGCAGCCUCUCGUUCGUGUUAUUUUGGUGAUGUUUUUGUAUAGUUAAUUUACAAUAUCACUUUGUGGGUGUUUUGUUUCCCUUACUAUAUAACGGUGUGAUAUCCCUUUUUUUUUUGUUGCUUUUAUGAUUUUUGUUUGAUUAUAUUUGUUAUAUGUCCUGAGCCGGGGGUCUAUCAGAAACAACCUCUCUACUUCAGAUGCGGUAGUGGUAUGGACCGCGUACACUUUACCCUCCCUAGGCCCCACUUUGUGGGAAUACACUGGGGUUAAAAUUCAUUGAUAGCAUAAAAACUGCAGAUGUAUAAAAAGUAUUUACACAAUCAGCUCAUUCAUGAGGUAAUUAUAGGUAAAUCUCUUGACAAGGAUUAAUUGAUCAAUGAUUAUCUUAUAGAAAAUGAUAAUUAUUCUAAUAUCAUAGGUUAAAAUUCAUUGGUUUUGUAAAAACUAGUCUAGAUCAUUUGGUGCUUCAUGUGUAAAAGUACCGGCGAAAGUGUAAAUCAUCUUCUUUUUUUUGGAUAACCGUGGUGUCCGGGCCAGCUUUUGCACACCUCGGCUAAAUCCACGGUAUACUUGCCACCUCCCACCAACAACAAAUACCAGGCAACUAUGCCACCAAGGCUAGGACAGAUGGACGAAUCACCUUCAUGUUAAUUGUAAGGUGGCUAGUCGGUUAUGGAGGUGGCCCUAAAUUUGUUUAGGACACAAUGAGUCAUGUCAGGCAUAGUGAAGGAGGCUUUGCAAAGUUGGACUCUUAAAAGAGGGAAGGAAAGCACGAAAGCAUGGAGCAUUGCAACCUUGGUAGUCAUGUGCGUCAUUUGGAAAGAGAGGAAUAGGAAGGCUUUUGAAGGGGUUGAACUUGAUUUCGUAAAGUUAAAGAGUAGUGUUUUGUACAUAGUUUACUUUUGGUGUACUUUCGAUGUCCCAAUUUGUAUAGAGGACUGGACCUCUUUUGUUGAGAACCAUAUUUUGGUAUGUGUUCUCUUCUUUUGGCAUAUGUAUACGGGGUUUCCCCAAACCGUUAAUAAAAUUGUUUACCUUAUCAAAAAAUAAAAAUAAAAAUAACUUAAGUGCUU
This is a long non-coding RNA of Capsicum annuum, 1093 nucleotides long. RefSeq lists it as uncharacterized. The transcript has 2 exons. NCBI's taxonomy places the organism in Eukaryota, Viridiplantae, Streptophyta, Magnoliopsida, Solanales, Solanaceae. The record is from RefSeq and is a predicted model, not a curated record.